UGGGGAAUUUUCCGCAAUGGGCGCAAGCCUGGCGGAGCAAUACCGCGUGAGGGAGGAAGGCUUUUGGGUUGUAAACCUCUUUUCUUAGGGAAGAAGAACUGACGGUACCUAAGGAAUCAGCAUCGGCUAACUCCGUGCCAGCAGCCGCGGUAAUACGGAGGAUGCAAGCGUUAUCCGGAAUUAUUGGGCGUAAAGCGUCCGCAGGUGGCUUUUCAAGUCUGCUGUCAAAGACCAGAGCUCAACUCUGGGCAGGCGGUGGAAACUGGAGAGCUAGAGUACGGUAGGGGUUGAGGGAAUUCCCAGUGUAGCGGUGAAAUGCGUAGAUAUUGGGAAGAACACCAGUGGCGAAGGCGCUCAACUGGGCCGUAACUGACACUCAGGGACGAAAGCUAGGGGAGCGAAAGGGAUUAGAUACCCCCGUAGUCC
This 426-nucleotide ribosomal RNA is filed under the name uncultured prokaryote. RNAcentral describes it as "bacterial SSU rRNA". It matches the Rfam family "Bacterial small subunit ribosomal RNA", at positions 355 to 796 of the family's 1533-position model. The record is from RNAcentral.